UGGUGGCGAUAGCGAAGAGGUCACACCCGUACCCAUACCGAACACGGAAGUUAAGCUCUUCAGCGCCGAUGGUAGUCGGGGGGUUCCCCCUGUGAGAGUAGGACGCCGCCAAGCA
This 115-nucleotide ribosomal RNA is filed under the name Bacillus subtilis. The record is from RNAcentral. Lineage: Bacteria; Bacillati; Bacillota; Bacilli; Caryophanales; Bacillaceae.